UACGUAGGGUGCGAGCGUUGUCCGGAAUUAUUGGGCGUAAAGGGCUCGUAGGCGGUCUGUCACGUCGAAAGUGAAAACUCAGGGCUCAACCCUGAGCCUGCUUCCGAUACGGGCAGACUAGAGGUAUGCAGGGGAGAAUGGAAUUCCUGGUGUAGCGGUGAAAUGCGCAGAUAUCAGGAGGAACACCAGUGGCGAAGGCGGUUCUCUGGGCAUUACCUGACGCUGAGGAGCGAAAGCGUGGGGAGCGAACAGG
Molecule: ribosomal RNA, 253 nt
Filed under: uncultured bacterium
Lineage: Bacteria
Description: partial 16S ribosomal RNA
Rfam family: Bacterial small subunit ribosomal RNA
Source: RNAcentral